UUCUUACUCUUUAUUGGAGAGUUUGAUCCUGGCUCAGGACGAACGCUGGCGGCGUGCCUAAUACAUGCAAGUCGAGCGGAGAAUUAAAAGCUUGCUUUUAAUUCUUAGCGGCG
This 113-nucleotide ribosomal RNA is filed under the name Bacillus yapensis. Its description in RNAcentral is "Bacillus sp. XXST-01 partial 16S ribosomal RNA". It matches the Rfam family "Bacterial small subunit ribosomal RNA", at positions 1 to 100 of the family's 1533-position model. Lineage: Bacteria; Bacillati; Bacillota; Bacilli; Caryophanales; Bacillaceae. The record is from RNAcentral.